UUCCAGACAUGCUUCUGGAGGUGGUAUAAAUGGUUAUAAACCUUAAGAAGCAGUUUGGUGUAGGACAAAUCACAUCAACAAAAAGGACCGUGCCAUUUUAGAGACCCACUUGUUGUAGCCUGGAGAAACACGAUAAGGAUAUGAGGAAAAGGAGAAUCAAACUUUAUGAUGAAAGAUACUCAUUGCAGGAUUAACUAGGGAGCUGUCAUGACUGGUAAGGAGACCUUAUCAGCUCAGAUCCCCACAAGCAUUAAAUAGUGAAUACAAAAUGACUUAGCAACAGCUUCAAGCCUACCGUAUUUUGAUAAUUAUGUGAAAUAUGUCUUAUAUGAUUGCAAAAUGUAUAUGAGAGUUCAGUUCUCAUAACAGGAACCUGGGCAGACUAAAGAGCCCUACUCCACGUUGUACUCCGCCUGAUGAAAGCAUUUGUCACUCGCAGGAACAGAAAGAAGAGAUGUAAGAACAGCUGCAGCAGCAAGAGCUCCCCCUUUCAGACACCAGGGAGCCCGCAAGUUCUGCCCAGUGUUUUCUGAAUCCUUCAGCACCUAAUGCAGAGGAUCAAAGGCCCACUGAAUCUCUGUGCAGUGGGUUUUUGACUGAUGUGCUGACUCUUUCAGAUCACUCUUCAGGAGAAGGUGGCUCGGGACAACUGGACUGGAAGAAAUCCAAAGACAGAGGCCACCAGAGGAAUCGAGGAGGCAGAAACCAGUGCCAGGAGAAUGUGACAAGGACAUCCCUCCGUGGACAGUCUAUGCAAAUCAGAAUAAACCUCCAUCCCUUCUCUGGCCGCUAUCAAAUGCAGGACCUGGUGCAGCUUCCACGGGAAACAAUAGCUCGGUCCUUAGUAUGGACACAGAGAGGGUCAAGGUGCCAGAACCGGAUGAACUGUCUACCCUCCUCUGGCCGGCCGUCUAGCUCACACAGGAGCACCCGUGGAUCUAACAAUCAUCUCACUACAUCUAACAGAUUUAAGAUGGAAAACUAUCAACUGCAUGGAGUCAACCGACUUUAACAAGACUGAGUUCACUGAAAUGAAAGCAGCAAAGGAGGAUGCUUAGAAAGGCUGGUUUGCUGUGUUGCCCUCAGACUCUUUUGUUCAUGGUGUUGAUUUAAAGGGUUUCAACAGGACACCUGAUUUACUCAAGAACACAUGCAAAAAGACUCUUAGAAACUGAGUCAAAAGCUCUAGACAGAGAAAGACACAUGCAUUUGCUUCUGGUCUCUCAGGCAAUCCUUCAGCAAAUGCCUUCUGGAGCGGCUGUGAUGGAGUGGCUCAGGUGGAAGGUGUAGAAGACGGAAAGGUGGUCAGGACACUGUACCCACCCCCAAAAGAACUUACCAAUGAACAGAACCAAGAUGCCAAUGACACAGAGCAGCCCCCACCCCCGGUGUGGGAUGGAAUAACACAAAGCUGAGUCUCCAGGGAAGACAGGGACAGUUUUACUUUUCCACGUGAAUGAGGGACUCUAAGGUCCUGAUCUCCUCCUGAGAAAAUAAAGGAAACACUGGACAAAAGAGCCAACUCGUAUGAGUGAAUGCACCCAAUUUCUAAGGAGCACAUGAAGAAACAUGAGAACCACAUGGAGAAGAAGGAAGCUUAGGAGAAAGGCAGCCUGGCAGUGGGAGCCAAUCUCCCCAGGACACAUCAAUACAUUCUGGAAGACGCAAGUGAACUAUAAAGAAGCUGAACAACUUUAUGGGCAUGGGCUUAGAAGGAAACAAGUGAAGUUCAGGGUCACCCAGCAAAGGUGAGCCCUAGUGAAACCGCGGGCUUUGGCUGGGACCCAAGAGAGUUACACCUAAAAUGUCAGGUGGAGGGGAAAUACCCUGGCCUUCUUAGGGACUGGGCUACAGUGAGGGAUGUCAGUUGUACACUGAAUGAAGGGAUCCGGGACUGCUGAAGCCCCAACCCACUUUCCACAAAGAAACUCCCAGUGUUUCUGCAGCAAGACAAUUCCAUUUUUCUAUCCACAUUAUUGACCCAAGACCCGUACUGAACCAAAAGUGACUGAAUUCAGGGCUGAUGAGAACAUAUGAUGACACUGAAACCUAAAGGACAAUGCAGACAGACCCAGAGGGGAUCCAGGUAUCAAAGUUUGUAAUGAUGGUACCUUCCCUCUUCUACUCCAAGGAGUCACACAACAAGCACGACAAGCAGUUAGAACAGAAAGGGAAAUGCAGGUUACACACAUCAAGGCAGGAAGGGCAGGCACAAUUCUACAGAAUGCAUUUGGCAAAAAUACUCGAGAUCUAAUUCUAAAAGAAAUACAAGUAUCUAGACAGGCCGUCACAUAACUUCAUACAACAGUAUUUGUGACAAUUCACACAGGAAUAGCUUACUCUUCUGCAGCCACUUGUCUUUGUUUAGAGAAAUCCACCACAAUAUCCACUUUCCUCCUCAGCAUUUUCAAUUCGGCUUCUUGAGUUGUUUUCAAAGAACUCAGGGCAUUGUAGUGGUCGUUCAAUAAUUCUUCACAUUCUGGAAAGGAAUGUGUGUGUAUGUGCACAUGACCUGAGAACUUGGGUUUGAUGGGGAAAGGAGAAGGGCAAGACCUUGAAGGCAGGAAGGCAUUCUUUCCCUUCCCAAUGCAAACUCAUUGCCACCAGUAUGGGGAUUUCUUCCCCCAAAUAACAUACCCUGCAGUGCUCGUUUUUUGGCCCUCAAGGCUCUCUGCUCUCCAUCCUCCAAUUCUUCUUGGCCCUUUAGGACAGAUAUGAGAAAAGACAUUCAAGAAAUCAUGAUCACAGAACAAUGUGAGGAUGCCUAACAGGACAGGAUCAUGCAGUGCAACAAAGAAAGCCCUUAAGGCCUAAGAGAAUCAGGAGAAAGUAAGCAAAGUGGAAAAUAGUUCAAGUCAAAGAACUCACAAAUGGCUUUCUUAGUGGCUUUCCUUCAUAUAUAUAUCCACAUACAUACAUAUAUACACAUCUUCCCCUCUUCACAUUGAAAAUGCUCUGUUUGGCCUUAAGAGGAAGGCACUGUACAAUUGGGCCAGCCAUCGCCCUUCAUCGCCCAAGUAUCUUGUGGGGAUUUUCUACAGAUCUUGGAAUUAAAGCCUGAAACCAGCAGGAGAAGAGACAUAAGAUUAGGGCAGAAAUCAAGGAAAUAGAAACCAAAGGAACAGUAGAACAGAUCAACAAAACUAGGAGCUGGUUCUUUGGAAGAAUUAAUAAGAUGGAGAAAACCCUGCCCAGACUUAUCAAAAAGAAAAGAGAAAGGACCCAAAUAACUAAAAUCCUGAAUGAAAGAGGAGAGAUCAAAACUAACACCAAAAGAUACAAACAAUUAUAAGAACAUAUUAAGAGAAACAAAAUGCCAACAAAUUAGGCAAUCUGGAAGAAAUGGAUGCAUUCCUAGAGACGUCUAAACUACCAAAACUGAACUAGGAAGACAUAAAGAACCUGAAGAGACCCAUAACCAGCAAGGAAACUGAAGCAGUCAGUAAUCAAAGAUCUCCCAACAAACAAGAGCCCAGGGCCAGACGCCUUCCCAGGGGAAUGCUACCAAACAUUUAAAGCAGAAUUAAUACCCAUUCCUCUAAAGUGGUGUCAAAACACAGAAAUGGAAGGAACACUUCCAAACUCUUUCUAUGAGGACAGCAUUACCUCAAUCCUAA
Long non-coding RNA from Zalophus californianus (California sea lion), 3617 nucleotides. Lineage: Eukaryota; Metazoa; Chordata; Mammalia; Carnivora; Otariidae. The record is from Ensembl.